Long non-coding RNA from Leucoraja erinaceus (little skate), 604 nucleotides. RefSeq lists it as uncharacterized. The transcript has 3 exons. The record is from RefSeq and is a predicted model, not a curated record. NCBI's taxonomy places the organism in Eukaryota, Metazoa, Chordata, Chondrichthyes, Rajiformes, Rajidae.
UGCUCUUUGGCAAAGACCUCACGAAAAAAGUAAAAGAUAUGGAAGAGGCCUCUAAAAUUUUCGGUCUCAUGAGGGCAGUCCCCGGGACGAGCAAACAAAAACAACAAUACCCAAGCAGCAGCACCCCAUCGUGUCCACCAGUCGACAUCUACCAUUUUUUUUUAGACCAAGGGCCCAGAGCGGACCCCAUGGAAAAUGCGCCACCCCCCAACAUCACCGCCACGUCAGACAACGCGCAAGACUCGCUGGUCGGGGAAGAGACAUAAGAAAUACCCAUAACCAUGGAGAUUCAUUGGUUGAUUACGAUAACACACAUCCUCCCUCAAGUACUUCGGCAAUGCUGCCUGGUGGAGUGUUUCCAGCAUUGUUCUGGGUUUAUUACAAUUGCACUAAAAGACUACGAUCUGUCUCUUUCAUAGCAGUAUCUCAAUGGAACAAAGUCCGGUUAAUGCUAACAUACUGAAGGGCAUGCCUUCGAUGGCUCUGAAUAAAGAAAGUACACAAAAACCACAAGGCAAUGAAUCUAUUUUUAGUCGACUAGAAAGAAGGCGGAUAAUCUAAUCUUGGAUGGUGGAGGGUUGUUGCAAUGCACAGCUACAUUAUA